This 1395-nucleotide long non-coding RNA is filed under the name Taeniopygia guttata (zebra finch). RNAcentral's name for it is "lncRNA (ENSTGUG00000028999.1)". The record is from RNAcentral. Lineage: Eukaryota; Metazoa; Chordata; Aves; Passeriformes; Estrildidae.
GGGGGAAAAGGGUGGGAAAACCUGAGAAAAUAGGAAGGGGAGCAGCUGAGAAAGCUGCAGAAAGAAGGCUGCAGUGAUGGACCUGGACCCACGCAGUAAGGGGCUCUACAGCCAAGACCCCCCAAGACCGCCAUGUGUCCCAGUGUCCCCCCGCCCCAGGGACAAGGCAGUCUCGGGUGUCCUCAAGAGGGGCAAUGUCCCUGUGUCCUGCCCAGUUCCCCCCUCAGGUCCUCCUGGGGGGAUCCCACAGCUGGAGGUGCUGCUGAAGCAGAUGCACAGCCUGCAGAAAGUCCGUGAGGCCACGGCACAGGAGCUGGUGAAGGCACAAGACUGCAGUGAGGGGUUGCGGCAGCACCUGGAGCAGCUGGAGCAGCGCAAGGAGGCACUGGAGAGGUCCUGGCAGCAGGUGCAGGAGUCACUGCAGAGAGCACAGCUGCAAGGGAAGGAGGUGGAGGCCAAAGGUCAGAGGCGCUGUGGGCUCUGCCUGGAGCAGCAGCAGGACAUGGAAGGGACAAAGCAGCACUGGAAGCAGCUGAAAGACCUGCGCCGGGGACACAGGUGGCAGCACUGCCAGCAGCUCGAGUCCAUCAUGGAGGAGCUCAAGCACCUGCGUGUCACACACGCUCCGGCCCACCUGGAGGCUGAACUGGUGCAGCUGGAGAAGAUGGAGGAGAAGUGGCUGAACUGGGAGCGCCGCGUGAUGGACACCGAGGAGCAGCUGGGCCCACAGGCACCUGUGCUCAGGCGAUUGGUGCAGCAGGACCAGGAGGGGGCGCUGCGACAGCUGGAGGUGGAGCUGGGCCGGCAGCGGCUGAGCCGGCGGCGCCGGGACAGGUUGGCCGAGGAGCUGCAGCAGCUGCAGCGCCCCCUCGAGGCUCAGCCAGAGUGAUGGGGACAAGAUGGACACACCCCAUGGGACACCUGUGCCACCUGUGCGACACCUCUGCGUGCCACCUGCACCCCACCCGUGCCUGCCGUGUUCUCAUGUCCCCCAUUUGUCCCCCCACGUCCCCAAUGUCCCCUCUUGUCCCCAUUUUCCCCAUGUGCCCCCCCACAUUCCCUCAGGUCCCCGAUGUUCCCCAUGUCCCAGUUCUCUCCCAAUGUCCUCAUGUCCCCUCAAGUCCCUUCAUGUCCCUCCAUGUCCCCUCAUAUCCCCAAUGUCCCCAUGUCCCCACAUAUCCCCAUUUUCCCCAUGUCUCCCGAGGUCCCCCAUGUCCCCCAUGUCCUCAUUUUCCCCCAAUGUCCCCUCAGGUCCCCCCCAUGUCCCCAUUUUCCCCCCAAUGUCCCCUCAGGUCCCCAUGGGCCCCAUGUCCCCCAUGUCCCCAUUUCCCCCCCAAUGUCCCCAGUGUCCCCUCACAUCCCCAGUGUCCCCCACGUCCCCAAUAAACGCCCUGC